This 443-nucleotide ribosomal RNA is filed under the name uncultured bacterium. RNAcentral's name for it is "partial 16S ribosomal RNA". It matches the Rfam family "Bacterial small subunit ribosomal RNA", at positions 338 to 795 of the family's 1533-position model. The record is from RNAcentral.
CCUACGGGUGGCAGCAGUGGGGAAUAUUGGGCAAUGGGCGCAAGCCUGACCCAGCAACGCCGCGUGAAGGAAGAAGGCUUUCGGGUUGUAAACUUCUUUUAUCAGGGACGAAGCAAGUGACGGUACCUGAUGAAUAAGCCACGGCUAACUACGUGCCAGCAGCCGCGGUAAUACGUAGGUGGCAAGCGUUAUCCGGAUUUACUGGGUGUAAAGGGCGUGUAGGCGGGAGUGCAAGUCAGAUGUGAAAACUAUGGGCUCAACCCAUAGCCUGCAUUUGAAACUGUACUUCUUGAGUGCUGGAGAGGCAGGCGGAAUUCCUAGUGUAGCGGUGAAAUGCGUAGAUAUUAGGAGGAACACCGGUGGCGAAGGCGGCCUGCUGGACUGUGACUGACGUUGAGGCCCGAAGGCGUGGGGAGCAAACAGGAUUAGAUACCCCUGUAGUC